This 66-nucleotide transfer RNA is filed under the name Glypthelmins quieta. RNAcentral's name for it is "tRNA-Met". The record is from RNAcentral. Lineage: Eukaryota; Metazoa; Platyhelminthes; Trematoda; Plagiorchiida; Plagiorchiidae.
GGAGAAGUAAGUUAAUUUAAAACUGUAUGGUUCAUGUUCAUAAAAUAUGCUUUUGUUUCUUCUCCU